This is a long non-coding RNA of Dioscorea cayenensis subsp. rotundata (Guinea yam), 407 nucleotides long. RefSeq lists it as uncharacterized. The record is from RefSeq and is a predicted model, not a curated record. The transcript is spliced from 3 exons. Lineage: Eukaryota; Viridiplantae; Streptophyta; Magnoliopsida; Dioscoreales; Dioscoreaceae.
CAUAACCUUCUCUUAAGACUAGAUUGAGAAGCUUUGUUCUAAAUUUCUGGCUGUUGAAGAAGCCCGCGAAUUCUGCUUUUUAGAUCCUGACAACGAGCUUUAAUUCGAGGGAUUUGGUCAACCCAACUUUGUAGUUCGGAACUAGUGAUCUCCACUUCUGGAAACUUGCCCAACUAGGAGGAGUAAGUCUCAGUCAUGUGCACAUAUUUUCUGUAGUAGUGCUUCCGGACAUGCAUGUCCAUUCCUACUGCGGUCAAAGAUAUGACUUCGGCUGUUGAUAUUCUGUCUGUUCUGACUUCACGAUCGAAGAUCCAGCCUCGAGCUGUUGAUUCUAUUUAUUAGCCAGGGAUGCAUUUUCUGUAUUAUGAUUAUUUUCUGUAUUCUAAUUAUAUUUAGUAAUUUUGCCU